RNAcentral lists this ribosomal RNA (274 nucleotides) under uncultured bacterium. RNAcentral describes it as "partial 16S ribosomal RNA". It matches the Rfam family "Bacterial small subunit ribosomal RNA", at positions 523 to 796 of the family's 1533-position model. The record is from RNAcentral.
AUACGGAGGGUGCAAGCGUUAAUCGGAAUUACUGGGCGUAAAGCGUACGUAGGCGGUUCGUUAAGCUAGAUGUGAAAGCCCCGGGCUUAACCUGGGAACUGCAUUUAAAACUGGCGGACUAGAGUUGAGUAGAGGGGAGUGGAAUUUCAGGUGUAGCGGUGAAAUGCGUAGAGAUCUGAAGGAACACCAGUGGCGAAGGCGACUCCCUGGACUCGAACUGACGCUGAGGUACGAAAGCGUGGGUAGCAAACGGGAUUAGAAACCCCAGUAGUCC